UAAGGUUUAGCUAAUAAAGCUUUUGAUUUGCAUUCAGAGGACAUAGGAUAGAGCCCUAUAAACCUUAU
RNAcentral lists this transfer RNA (68 nucleotides) under Gavialis gangeticus (Gharial). Its description in RNAcentral is "transfer RNA-Ala". It matches the Rfam family "tRNA". From Rfam's summary of the family: Transfer RNA (tRNA) molecules are approximately 80 nucleotides in length. Their secondary structure includes four short double-helical elements and three loops (D, anti-codon, and T loops). The record is from RNAcentral. Lineage: Eukaryota; Metazoa; Chordata; Crocodylia; Gavialidae.